UCUCCAUACUUUCUUUUUUAGGAUGAGCUCAUCCAUCCAUUUUUUCAUCAAGAAGUAAAAAUUUCAGUAGAUCAUCAAUUUGAAGAUACUCUCAUUAUAGUCAUGGCAUCACUUACAUUGUUCAAGAUCCAAGCAAUGCUAAGGAAUUACAUAAAUAAGGAACACUACUAUAUAACUGAGGGAGUUUGUUUACCACUUCUGAUAAUUUGUUCACACCAGCCAUGAGACACAUACUUCCUCACUAUCUGCAGUUUAAAAAUCUGUAAAGAAAAAGAAAUCAACCUUUCAAGUUCAGCAGGUAAAAACGUGAAAAUGAUUAGUGAACAUAGAUCUCGUAUUUUACAUUAAAAUUAGGUGUACAUUUAUAUGUACUUUUUCCUUUCUUCCUCAUAGACAAUAACAACCUUCUGCAGCUGAUCAUUUUUCAUUUCUCAUGAGCACCUUCUCAUCUGAGCCUGCAACAGAAAUAGUGUGGCCAGCAGGACUAGGGAAGUGAUUGUCCCUCUGUACUCAGCACUGGUAAGACUGCACCUGGAAUACUGUGCUCAGGUUUCAGCCCCUCACUACAAGAAGGAUAUUUUGUUGCUCAAGGGUGUGCAGAGAAGAGCAAUGAAGCUGGUGAAGGGACUAUAGAACAAGACUUACAAGAAGUGUCUGAGGGAGCUGCAGUUGUUUAAUGUGGAGAGAAGGAGGCUGAGGGGAGACCUCUUUGCUCUCUGCAACAAGCUGAAAGGAGGUUACAGUGAGGAAGGUGUCUGUCUCAUUUCUCAGGUGACAAGUGAUAGGAUGCAAGGAAAUGGUCUCAGAUUGCACAAAGUCUUGAGUUUAGAUUGAAUAUUGGGAAGGAUUUCUUCACAGAGAGGGUAGUCAAACACUGGAAUGAGUGACCAAUGGAAGUGGUGGAGUCCCCAGCCCUGGAGCUACCUACUUAAGAGACAUGGUGAUGUGACACUAAAGCACAUGGUUUAGUCAUGAGACUUGGUAGGUCAGGUUGAUGGUUGGACUUGAUAGUCUUGAAGGUCUUUUCCAACCUACAUGAUUCUAUGAUUCUAUGAUUUUUUUUUGUCUGUUUUUAGUUAAUAACUUUAUAACAAAAGACAUUCAC
Molecule: long non-coding RNA, 1105 nt
Filed under: Anser brachyrhynchus (Pink-footed goose)
Lineage: Eukaryota; Metazoa; Chordata; Aves; Anseriformes; Anatidae
Description: lncRNA (ENSABRG00000016383.1)
Source: RNAcentral